RNAcentral lists this long non-coding RNA (885 nucleotides) under Pan troglodytes (chimpanzee). RNAcentral describes it as "long non-coding RNA NONPTRT007120". The record is from RNAcentral. Lineage: Eukaryota; Metazoa; Chordata; Mammalia; Primates; Hominidae.
UCUUACCCCACCCCUUCAUUUUACAGAUGUGAAAAACAAGACCCAGAGAGGGGAAAUCAUUUGAAUCCUGUCCUGGUAUUGCUUUGUGUUCCUGGAUUUGGAGAAUUUCUGGGAACACAGGAAAAGGAAAGGCUCAGCUCCAGAAGCAGACCCAGAAUGGCAUCCUUCUCUGAGACCCAGACCCCAGCCCCUCUUCAUGGAAGACCAGCACAAAGGAGGAAGUAGGUUAGGGAAUGGUAAGGCUCCAUGUGAUGGGACUAAUGUGGAGAGGCCUGGGGCCUUUCCCUGAGGACUGGAUGGCUGGAGUUUGGGAGCCUGAGUUGACAGAGGAGGCUAAGCCCGGGCAGCUACUUUGUUCCAGAAAUCUAAGGUCCCUGGAGGGAGGCUCUGCUUUGGGAGGGGGAAGGGAGCUAACAUUGCAGAGCACCAACUGUGAACCAGGUACAAUGGCAGAGCCUUUCCAUACCUGUACUCACAACUAGCGGGUGAGGAGUCAAGGCAAAUAGGUGUCUCAUAGCUCCCCAUAUCUCGGCAGUCGACCACCUCCUCCUUUGAUUCUCUGAUGUCACUGCCAGUUCUCCUCCUAUUGCUCUGACCUGUCUUUCUCUGUGUCCUUUGCAAACUCAUUCUCAACUCCUUAGACUCAGUCAAGUCCCCCAGUUACACACUUCCAUGGUACUAUAUAUCGUUCCUUCAGAGCACUUAACACAGUUAUUUCCUAUGUAUUUGUCCAGUCAUUUGAAUAAUGAUCCUAGUUUCAUUGGAUGGAAAGUUCCACAAGGUCAGUGACCAUUUCUAUCUGUGUUCACCAAUGUGUUCCCAGUGCCCAGAAACAAUGCCUAGCAUAAAGCAGCUGUUUUGUAAAUACUUGUUCAAUGAAUGAAU